AUGCUUAACACAUGCAAGUCGAACGGUAACAGGCCAUCGUGAUCUCUUCGGAGUGAACUAGGCGCUGACGAGUGGCGGACGGGUGAGUAAUACUUAGGAAUCUGCCCUGUAGUGGGGGACAACUCGAGGAAACUCGAGCUAAUACCGCAUACGCCCUAAGGGGGAAAGCGGGGGAUCAUUAGACCUCGCGCUAUUGGAUGAGCCUAAGUCGGAUUAGUUUGUUGGUAGGGUAAUAGCCUACCAAGGCUACGAUCCGUAGCUGGUCUGAGAGGACGAUCAGCCACACUGGGACUGAGACACGGCCCAGACUCCUACGGGAGGCAGCAGUGGGGAAUAUUGGACAAUGGGCGAAAGCCUGAUCCAGCAAUGCCGCGUGUGUGAAGAAGGCCUGAGGGUUGUAAAGCACUUUCAGUAGUGAAGAAAAACUUAGAGUUAAUACCUUUAAGUCGUGACGUUAACUACAGAAGAAGCACCGGCUAACUCCGUGCCAGCAGCCGCGGUAAUACGGAGGGUGCGAGCGUUAAUCGGAAUUACUGGGCGUAAAGCGCGCGUAGGCGGUUUUGUAAGUCGGAUGUGAAAGCCCAGGGCUUAACCUUGGAAUUGCAUUCGAUACUGCAUCACUAGAGUAUGGUAGAGGGAAGUGGAAUUUCCGGUGUAGCGGUGAAAUGCGUAGAGAUCGGAAGGAACACCAGUGG
This 695-nucleotide ribosomal RNA is filed under the name uncultured bacterium. Its description in RNAcentral is "bacterial SSU rRNA". It matches the Rfam family "Bacterial small subunit ribosomal RNA", at positions 44 to 715 of the family's 1533-position model. The record is from RNAcentral.